RNAcentral lists this ribosomal RNA (305 nucleotides) under uncultured bacterium. Its description in RNAcentral is "bacterial SSU rRNA". It matches the Rfam family "Bacterial small subunit ribosomal RNA", at positions 337 to 634 of the family's 1533-position model. The record is from RNAcentral.
GCCUACGGGGGGCAGCAGUAGGGAAUCUUCCACAAUGGGCGAAAGCCUGAUGGAGCAACGCCGCGUGGGUGAAGAAGGUCUUCGGAUCGUAAAACCCUGUUGUUAGAGAAGAAAGUGCGUGAGAGUAACUGUUCACAUUUCGACGGUAUCUAGCCAGAAAGCCACGGCUAACUACGUGCCAGCAGCCGCGGUAAUACGUAGGUGGCAAGCGUUAUCCGGAUUUAUUGGGCGUAAAGGGAACGCAGGCGGUCUUUUAAGUCUGAUGUGAAAGCCUUCAGCUUAACCGGAGUAGUGCAUUGGAAACU